AGAAUGGGGGAGAGGUGCCAGAAGAGCUGGCAGCAAGGCCUGAAAUGACAGAGAUAUGGAAAAAGCUUUGCCUGUAUCAGCCCAGCCUGAGGACAAGGCCAGGGUAACCGGGAGCUAAUGAGAGUCUUCAGAGAAGAAGGCUGGGUUUCUGUAAGACACUCCUGAUGCAAACAGGCAGGGGGGAGGAGCAGUAUUUUAUUCAGCUCCUUGGUGGUUCGUGAAAUAUCUGAGACAGUGAACAUCUUUGGACCUAAGCUGUAUCACCUUGGGAUAAAUCCCCAGAUAAGUAAAUAGGAGGGCAAAGAAAAAGACUAUUUUCUGUAACAUUGAUUUAUAAUGCUAAAUUCAAUCUAAAUGGGUUAUUUCUACUUUUCAAA
Non-coding RNA from Rattus norvegicus (Norway rat), 377 nucleotides. NCBI's taxonomy places the organism in Eukaryota, Metazoa, Chordata, Mammalia, Rodentia, Muridae. The record is from RefSeq and is a predicted model, not a curated record.